Molecule: long non-coding RNA, 1468 nt
Filed under: Homo sapiens (human)
Lineage: Eukaryota; Metazoa; Chordata; Mammalia; Primates; Hominidae
Description: HSALNT0082988
Source: RNAcentral
GCUGGUGGGCCAACAGCAGCACCUGUUCCUUGCCCAGGCUCCUGGGCCACCUGCUGAGGCCCCAGCCCCAGUGUUUGCUUGAGGCAGCUCUGGCCCUCUGGCCAUCCUCUGUCCCAAGCUGCCUGGAGUAGAAAUCUCCUGGGAUCAACAUUGCUGUGGGUUUCAGGGUACCCGGACUCUUAUUUCCCCAACCAGGUUACAAAUGGCUUGAAGAAGGCUGGGGCUGUGAGUUAGAAACUCUCAGGAUGUGUGAGAAAUUCAACAAAUGUUUGGAAAAGCAACAGGAAUGGCAGCUCUUUUCUGCUGGAAGAGACAUUUCUGUUCGUGUAACUUGAGACUGAAAGAGUGUGGCCAACCCGGGAGGAAGCACACAGGGAGGGCUGGGGGCUGUGUUCAAGAGGUGUGGCUGGCAGAGAGGGGAUGGAGGGUGGAGGGGGGCACUCCCGUCAGAGGAAAGCAGGGUGAGCUUUAGGACUGGGCGGCCGCAGAGCCCAGGUUGAGUCUGGACCUCCCUGAUGCCCCAGGGGCCCUUCUCAAGGAAAUCAACUGUAGGAGGCAGCCAGCCUCAGAGACUCCCCCCCGGCCAGCAUCCCAAGCCCCCAGUGGAAAGCCCAGGGAGGACAGCCUGACGGGGCCACUUACCGAUCUUGGCCAAGCUGGCCACGAGGAUCCAGAGCGCGAUGACGUAGGGAUCCUGCACGUGGGCCCACUCGAAGGUGACCACCUGGAAGCCCCCGCUCUCGCCGUGCGCGCCGCCGGGCUCCACCUCGACGCCCCCGGCCCGCGCCAGCCCGCCCAGCGCCAGCGCCAGCAGCAGCCCCCGGUCGGGGCCCCGGGCCCCGAGUCCCCACAUUGCCGCCUGCUCAGCGCAGGGCUGGGACGCGCAUGUCGCGGGGGGUCCCGGCUGGGCUGGGCCGACGCGCGGGGCUGGGACCCGGCGAGGACCCGGCGCGCUCCGGUGCCGGUACCGGCUACAGUCCGAUCCCCGCCCGCCGGGGUGGCCUUUAAUCCCGCGGCCCCCUCCCGCCCCGGGGCGGAGCCUGCCCGCCCCCGCCGCGCACUCGCGAGCGCAGACACCGCCGCAGCUCCCGGCACGCCCGCCCCGCCCGCGCACGCCCACCCCGCGCUCCCUGGUGCCCACCCUCCCCCGGAGCCCGCGGCCUGGAGGUCCGGGAGGUCGCGGCAAGAGCGAGCCCGGGACUGCGCGGCCGCCUUCCUGGGGCGUGGGGAGCACAGCGCGGGGCAGCGGGACAGGCGGUUCCGCGCAGCUCCUGGGAUGCCCGGGCAGCUGUGGGUGCGCUCGCCCCAACCCUCCUUCAUAAACGCAGGGCCUGGGGCUGCGCAGACCCCACAGGGCGGCCCAAGGGUGCACAGGGGCCCCAGGUGUGUCUUCACACAGCCCCUCGCUAUUGUCUUCAGCAGGAACCUGCAUUCCACAGCCGGACCGGCCACUUACCAGAACUCGGGG